Molecule: ribosomal RNA, 253 nt
Filed under: uncultured bacterium
Lineage: Bacteria
Description: partial 16S ribosomal RNA
Rfam family: Bacterial small subunit ribosomal RNA
Source: RNAcentral
UACGAAGGGGGCUAGCGUUGUUCGGAUUUACUGGGCGUAAAGCGCGCGUAGGCGGAUUCUUAAGUCAGGGGUGAAAUCCCGAGGCUCAACCUCGGAACUGCCUUUGAUACUGGGGAUCUCGAGUUCGGGAGAGGUGAGUGGAACUGCGAGUGUAGAGGUGAAAUUCGUAGAUAUUCGCAAGAACACCAGUGGCGAAGGCGGCUCACUGGCCCGAUACUGACGCUGAGGCACGAAAGCGUGGGGAGCAAACAGG